ACAUGCCUUAGCCUGCACCAAGCCCGACCCAAACAAAACUAUUCUCUUGUACCACAAUCACACUUAGCAUACUCAAGAUAUAUCGCUCACUACACUAUGACACUGUCCCACAACAUGUGCUAUUCUGAGCUAUACACUAUUUCACUCUAUUACAACUACAAAUAUGCAACGUCUGCUUUUUUUUUCUAUGUUAUUAUCUCCGAGUUGAUUAUUAAGCA
Pelobates cultripes (western spadefoot toad) is the source of this 218-nucleotide non-coding RNA. NCBI's taxonomy places the organism in Eukaryota, Metazoa, Chordata, Amphibia, Anura, Pelobatidae. The record is from the annotation of a GenBank genome assembly.